GUGUCUGCUGUUGAUGUGGGUGACAGCUGCUGGUUGAAAGACAUUGGGAAAGUACUGAAGAUUCAAAUGAAGUUUUGCCAUGACAACAGGGGCUUGAUGUGUGCUAAUCAAUCGAUGGAGUAGAAAAAAAAGCGCUUGGUGGUGAAGGAAGAAAAAGGGAUAAAGUGUGAGUGACAGAAAGUUGUCAGACAGCGCUCACAGAGAUAUCAAAAAGUCACAAAGUUUGCGUCGCCACACAAGAGCCUAAAUCGCAUGUGGUAUAGGCUACAAAAGGUUUGACUUGAAACGCAUUGCAUUUGAUAUAAAGGAAAAGAAAUUGGGACAAUUCUCCAUAUGCUGUGGUGGCAAGAAAGAUUUUUCUUCUUUUUGACAGAGGAGGGGGGCAGGCUUUGUUUCUGUGACACCUACAGUGAAUUCCUGAGAAAAUUCUCCGUCGAGGUCUGUCUGAGCUUCUUCCACCCUUCAAAGGAUGCGGGGCCAUAGGAUGUGGAAUUUACAUCACAAAAGACCCUGAACUGUCUCAGCAAGUAAAGGUAUAACAGAUGAUCAAACACACAAGUCAGAUCAAAUGCAUCAAACAUCAGUAUCUGAAAGAGCAGAUCGUGAGAGAUGGCCAAGACGUUGACUCUAAAGAGACUAAAAAUACUCUUUCACUAAAGUUUGGCAAAGUUGUUUAAAGGCUUAGAAACAUCUUAACCCAGUGCUUACAGGUCUGCAAACCAGGAGCUGCUCUUCAGGCUACUUGAUGAGGAGAGUUUGAGGUAAUAAACCACAACAUCUGAGCCACUGCUGUUGGAUUCAGCUUUACGCUCAGCAGCCAGAGCUUUCAUAAUGCAGUACAACCUUUUCCAGAUGUGGAUCGCUGAGGAAUUCCAGGAAACACAGCAAAUCCACCGAUCUGUCCAUCCACAUGAAUGUCUCAUAUGAGUCAGGAACAACAGGUCAAGGUGACAGAGAUGAGAAACCAAAGCCACAUAAGGUAUGAACAUAAAUAUAAGAUGGAUAAUGAGAUGGAUGGGAAUAUUUUCCAUUUACGGAUAUGCUCGUUAUUACUUGGAACAUGGCUGUCAUAAUGUACCAAUAUUGGUGAUAACUGUCUCAAAAGAAAUAAAAAUGACAUUUAUAGUUUAGUUGCUAGUUAUGCUAGUAAUCACACAUCAUAAAACUGAAGAUAGAUCAUAAGGAAGUAGCAGACUGCAAACAAACUAACUGAAGCAGCUCCAUGGGUGAUUUCAGACAGUCAAACAUACAUCAACAUAAUGCGAAAGCUAUUGUUCAAUCAAGAUUUGUUAAUUCUUUUUAUUAAAAAAAAAGAGCCCCUAUUGGAAGUUGUUACAUUAAAGGUGAAGUAGGCAGGAAUCUGUCUAAGAAUUAUCUUUUUUUGUGGUGUAUAUGCAAAAGAGCUUUUAAUAUCAGUCAAUAGCUAUUAGUUACUGAUGAUAUUUAGAAAUAUCACAAUAUCGCUAUGUUCUCUUAUGCAUGUAGUCAACAUUUAAAAUUUUUGAGCGGACCACUCACUCUGAGUGUAAACAAAGAGAGCCGACUGCUAACACAAGCAACAAAACACUUCAGGACGCUUUGGGAUCUUACAGACCCUGUAACCUUUCUGCCCCCUGAACCUUUUCCUGGACAGGUGAAAGCCAAGUGUCUGAAACAGAAGUGUUUCUUGUCAAUGUAUUGUAGUGCCGCUAAACUGUUUACCUCAGGUCCUAGAGUAUGUCACUUUAUCCUAGUUGUAGGAGUCCUGCAAUUAUUGUGUUUGCUGCUACUCUGUUGGCAUCUACAGUAGCACCAAUGCUUCUUACUUUCACAUUGACUGGGCCCCAUUCAUAAUUAUCUGAAGUAUUUUCUGCAAAUAUAUCUGAAUCUAAGUGGAACGAUACGAGCGAGCAGGAGUGUCUAUUUUGGAGCAACGACUUGCUGGAGCAGAGAGGGAGGGGAGAGGAGGAGCUGAGGGGAAAACUGGUUGGGAAGGGUAGUGUUUAUGUUCUCCUAAAAACUAGCACUUCCUCAGAUCCUGCCUAACCCACCUUUAAGUCCACAUAUAUGAGAAUGCACAGUUCAGACUAGCCGUGGUUGGGGCUCAGUUAAGCAUUUUGACUGGUCAACUUUCCUGUGUCAUGCAGGAACAGGCUAAAAUUAAUGCAUUCAUUAACUUCAUAUAUAUUAUGAUGAAUGGUGGACUAAGUGGCUGUGUUGCAAAUUUUGAACAGAAACGUUGGUGUAGUUUGUCAUAGAGACAGCAAGUGAUUGCUUAAUUUUAGGAGGUUUCAAGAGGUUCUGAGAGUUGUUCAAGAAUCAGGAUUUUACAGCAGCUGAAGUCAGAUUAAAUGACUGAACUGAAACUGGCCUAAGUGUUCAGCCCAGCACCAGUGUUCAUAUGCCAGAAGCUGAAUAGCAUGGAUGUGCUGUUAGGAAGCAGGUAGUAAUCAAAACCCUUACAGACAAAGACUAAAUGUGAAAAAGAGUAAACUUUCCUUAAAAAAAAAAAAAAAAAAAAAACAGCACAGAGCUGUGAAAGAGAUGUCCUAUUAGCCUCUUGCUAACGUCUUUUGCCGGCUGUUUUGAUACGCAAAACGUCAACUAGGAGAUGACCUGAUGGUAAAAAACUUAAAGGGGGUAUGUCGUCACCUAUAGUAGCAGAGGCAGACAUGCUUGGGUCAAUAAUUCCAUUCUUCGCCAUCAUUCUUCUCAACUUAACUGUGCAGGUAAAUGUACUGUGUGUUAGUUGUUGCAUAUUCAUUUAUGUCUCAUGUUAGAUCAAUCAGUCAGGUUGCAUUUUGCAUGGGUGAAAAUGUUAGAUAAUAGUGGGGACUGGUUCUCUAGUUAGUUAAAGCUAAUUGCUGAUCAGUUUGGUGUGCUGAAGGCAUAGAUCUGCAUUACAAGAAUGAACAUCACUUCUUUCAAUGUUUAUUUGUAAUUUUUCUGUUUUUUGUUUUUUUUUUCAGGAGAAUUGUGAGAUAAAGCCUUGUCUGUGCCACACUUGCGCCCCCUUUUUUCUUAUAACUGAUUCAGUUUCUCGGUUGAACACAGAUUGAUCUAAAGUGUGGAUUUAUUUAAGUCAUUCUGGGCUUUUCUUAGUAUGAAAGGUCUUAAUUCCCUAUUGUUAAGCCACUGCGU
This 3120-nucleotide long non-coding RNA is filed under the name Xyrichtys novacula (pearly razorfish). The record is from RNAcentral. Lineage: Eukaryota; Metazoa; Chordata; Actinopteri; Labriformes; Labridae.